UACGUAGGGUGCAAGCGUUAAUCGGAAUUACUGGGCGUAAAGCGUGCGCAGGCGGUUAUGCAAGACAGAUGUGAAAUCCCCGGGCUCAACCUGGGAACUGCAUUUGUGACUGCAUAGCUGGAGUGCGGCAGAGGGGGAUGGAAUUCCGCGUGUAGCAGUGAAAUGCGUAGAUAUGCGGAGGAACACCGAUGGCGAAGGCAAUCCCCUGGGCCUGCACUGACGCUCAUGCACGAAAGCGUGGGGAGCAAACAGGAUUAGAUACCCUGGUAGUCCACGCCCUAAACGAUGUCAACUGGUUGUUGGGAAGGUUCCUUCUCAGUAACGUAGCUAACGCGUGAAGUUGACCGCCUGGGGAGUACGGCCGCAAGGUUGAA
Molecule: ribosomal RNA, 374 nt
Filed under: uncultured bacterium
Lineage: Bacteria
Description: bacterial SSU rRNA
Rfam family: Bacterial small subunit ribosomal RNA
Source: RNAcentral